This 735-nucleotide ribosomal RNA is filed under the name uncultured bacterium. RNAcentral describes it as "bacterial SSU rRNA". It matches the Rfam family "Bacterial small subunit ribosomal RNA", at positions 21 to 748 of the family's 1533-position model. The record is from RNAcentral.
GGCUCAGAUUGAACGCUGGCGGCAGGCUUAACACAUGCAAGUCGAGCGGAAACGAAGGUAGCUUGCUACCAGGCGUCGAGCGGCGGGCGGGUGAGUAAUGCUUAGGAAUCUACCGAGUAGUGGGGGAUAGCCAUUGGAAACGAUGAUUAAUACCGCAUAUAUCCUACGGGGGAAAGCAGGGGACCUUCGGGCCUUGCGCUAUUCGAUGAGCCUGAGUGAGAUUAGCUAGUUGGUGGGGUAAAGGCCUACCAAGGCGACGAUCUCUAGCUGGUCUGAGAGGAUGAUCAGCCACACUGGGACUGAGACACGGCCCAGACUCCUACGGGAGGCAGCAGUGGGGAAUAUUGCACAAUGGACGAAAGUCUGAUGCAGCCAUGCCGCGUGUGUGAAGAAGGCCUUCGGAUUGUAAAGCACUUUCAGCGAGGAGGAAAGGUCAGUAAGUAAUAUUUGCUGGCUGUGACGUUACUCGCAGAAGAAGCACCGGCUAAUUUAGUGCCAGCAGCCGCGGUAAUACUAAAGGUGCAAGCGUUAAUCGGAAUUACUGGGCGUAAAGCGCGCGUAGGUGGUUUGUUAAGUUGGAUGUGAAAGCCCAGGGCUCAACCUUGGAACUGCAUUCAAAACUGACUCACUAGAGUACGAGAGAGGUUAGUGGAAUUUCCUGUGUAGCGGUGAAAUGCGUAGAGAUGGGAAGGAACACCAGUGGCGAAGCGACUGACUGGCUCGAUACUGACACUG